RNAcentral lists this transfer RNA (74 nucleotides) under Phycisphaeraceae bacterium. Its description in RNAcentral is "tRNA-Arg". It matches the Rfam family "tRNA". Rfam says of the family: Transfer RNA (tRNA) molecules are approximately 80 nucleotides in length. Lineage: Bacteria; Pseudomonadati; Planctomycetota; Phycisphaerae; Phycisphaerales; Phycisphaeraceae. The record is from RNAcentral. RNAcentral also lists the same sequence under 2 other names.
GCGGGCAUAGCUCAACUGGAUAGAGCACCUGACUACGGAUCAGGAGGUUGUGGGUUCGACUCCUACUGCCCGUG